GACGAACGCUGGCGGCGUGCCUAAUACAUGCAAGUCGAGCGGACGAAUCGAAAGCUUGCUUUUGAUUCGUUAGCGGCGGACGGGUGAGUAACACGUGGGCAACCUGCCCUGUAGACGGGGAUAACACCGAGAAAUCGGUGCUAAUACCGGAUAACACGAAAUGUCGCAUGACGUUUCGUUGAAAGACGGCGCAAGCUGUCGCUACAGGAUGGGCCCGCGGCGCAUUAGCUAGUUGGUGAGGUAACGGCUCACCAAGGCGACGAUGCGUAGCCGACCUGAGAGGGUGAGCGGCCACACUGGGACUGAGACACGGCCCAGACUCCUACGGGAGGCAGCAGUAGGGAAUCUUCCGCAAUGGACGAAAGUCUGACGGAGCAACGCCGCGUGAGCGAAGAAGGCCUUCGGGUCGUAAAGCUCUGUUGUUAGGGAAGAACAAGUAACGCAGUAACUGGCGUUACCGUGACGGUACCUAACGAGAAAGCCACGGCUAACUACGUG
This 498-nucleotide ribosomal RNA is filed under the name uncultured bacterium. RNAcentral describes it as "partial 16S ribosomal RNA". It matches the Rfam family "Bacterial small subunit ribosomal RNA", at positions 28 to 507 of the family's 1533-position model. The record is from RNAcentral.